AGUGAACGCUGGCGGUAGGCCUAACACAUGCAAGUCGAACGGCAGCACAGUAAGAGCUUGCUCUUACGGGUGGCGAGUGGCGGACGGGUGGGGAAUACAUCGGAAUCUACUUUUUCGUGGGGGAUAACGUAGGGAAACUUACGCUAAUACCGCAUACGACCUACGGGUGAAAGCAGGGGAUCUUCGGACCUUGCGCGAUUGAAUGAGCCGAUGUCGGAUUAGCUAGUUGGCGGGGUAAAGGCCCACCAAGGCGACGAUCCGUAGCUGGUCUGAGAGGAUGAUCAGCCACACUGGAACUGAGACACGGUCCAGACUCCUACGGGAGGCAGCAGUGGGGAAUAUUGGACAAUGGGCGCAAGCCUGAUCCAGCCAUACCGCGUGGGUGAAGAAGGCCUUCGGGUUGUAAAGCCCUUUUGUUGGGAAAGAAAAGCAGCAGGUUAAUACCCCGCUGUUCUGACGGUACCCAAAGAAUAAGCACUGGCUAACUUCGUG
This 492-nucleotide ribosomal RNA is filed under the name uncultured bacterium. RNAcentral describes it as "partial 16S ribosomal RNA". It matches the Rfam family "Bacterial small subunit ribosomal RNA", at positions 29 to 507 of the family's 1533-position model. The record is from RNAcentral.